Molecule: long non-coding RNA, 364 nt
Filed under: Olea europaea subsp. europaea
Lineage: Eukaryota; Viridiplantae; Streptophyta; Magnoliopsida; Lamiales; Oleaceae
Source: RNAcentral
AGCGGGAUCAAUUGCAUCUACGAGAUUGGUAGGAGCCAAAACAAGUACACCCUAAAAUAGCACGAGGAAAUCAGAGGAAGAUAUCGUUAGCUCAUCUCCAAUUUAUCAUUUGCAAUAUGGAUGUCAAGUAUUAUUACUCACUUUAGACUCCUCUAAACCAUCCAUAUUUCAGUUAGCAAUGUAGCUAGAAUUUUAUCCCCAACUCUUGAGUUACCGCUUGAACUUCCUCCUCUGCCAUUGAAAAUCAAAAUUUGCAAUAGAAUUCAGGAAACAGUUAAAGACAUACCUCAAUGGCAUAAUAAAUGUAACUGGAUUUGUACAUAAGGCAGUUCCAAGAAAACAAACUGCAUGAAGCAAGGCUUUU